Long non-coding RNA from Daucus carota subsp. sativus, 1168 nucleotides. RefSeq lists it as uncharacterized. The transcript is spliced from 4 exons. NCBI's taxonomy places the organism in Eukaryota, Viridiplantae, Streptophyta, Magnoliopsida, Apiales, Apiaceae. The record is from RefSeq and is a predicted model, not a curated record.
GCUCCAUCGCGAACCAGGAUAAAAUCGACAGUGUUAUAUUUGCUCUUUAUUUCCGCACAUAUAAUUGCUAAACAACACGGUAAAAAUAUUUAAAACUUGGAAAAUAUUUUUAAAAGGCAAUUAUAAUUUUUAAAUUGGACAUUAAGCUAUUCAACCCCCCCUUCUAGCUUAAUUCAACGCCUUAAUCAGGACCUAACAAUCUACAAUUGUAGAAUUGAUUUCGAAUUUACAGUUUAACAUAAUUUAUGCAUAAAUUUAUAUUCUUCAUCUAAAUUCUCAAUACUUUCUUCUACAAGCCGUUUUAAGUCAUCUACGAAAUGCAUUUUAUUUCAGAACUCUGCUCUUCAUUUGUCUCAGAAUGCUGACACACCAGGAACCUUCAAAUCAAUUACCAAAAGGGUGAAAAAGGGAGGGGCGGGUUGAUGCUGCACUGGCCCUGUUCAUGAGAUGAGAAGCAACUCCUGUAAUGCGGAUAUAGUUCUCUUCAAUAUCUGUAUUGAUUCCUUUGGCAAGCAUGAUAGGAGUACUCUACAAAGCUAAUAGAUUGGACUAAGCUGUGAAUAUGUAGGAGCAUAUGUAGCUGAACAGGAAAGUCCCAUGUGCAUAUGCUUAUAACACCAUGAUUAUGGGUUAUGGACUGGCGGGAAAGUUUGAUGGGAAGACCUGGAGCCUGAAAGAUCCGGAAGUGAGCGGUCUUGGAGCCCCAGCUAUGGGUAUAGGUCCAGGGGCAGAAGGCAUACUAACAUUCUCUGAAAUAGAGAAUCACAACCUGGCAAAUAAGGCCACUGUGGCACAUGACGCCACAACUAUCUCUACUUAUUCAGUAGCAGGGAGUACAUGGAUUGGUUAUGAUGAUAUUGUAUCGACGAGUGUUAAGAUUGGAUAUGCAUAGUCCCUUAGAAUUUGUAGUUACUUCUUUUGGGCCCUCAAUGGUGAUCACAACCGGAGCAUUUCCGGAACAGCAUCCGAGUUAUGGAUUGAUUAAGAUGAAUAAAGGCUGACGAGAUCAGGAGCUUCAACUACACUCUCCAUUUUACUUUUCUGAAAUUCAACAACCUGGCUAACUAUGAUUGGAUUUGGGGAAGACCAUACAUAUUUUUCUUCUUGUGUUGUAUCUGAUAAUUUUGUGAAAUUUAUUGCCAUUCAGUUCAUUUUAUUUAACAGCCUA